RNAcentral lists this long non-coding RNA (756 nucleotides) under Homo sapiens (human). RNAcentral describes it as "HSALNT0341244". The record is from RNAcentral. Lineage: Eukaryota; Metazoa; Chordata; Mammalia; Primates; Hominidae.
CUUUUGCCUGGGCCUCACAUAUUUUGGGUAUCGUAACAAAUUGCUGGGCCCCACCACUGGGAGAUGGGAGGCUUGUGCAUGGAUCCUGCCUAUGUGGGGACCUUUUGAUACUUAUCUGCAUCUAUCACUUAGAAGAUAUGACUUUCCUACCUGCACCCUGCCCACAAGGAAGAUUGGGAACUAUCACUAGGCCAUGCGUCCAGGUUAUGUAACUCGGCUGCCCGUGUUCUGCUUUCAGGAGGGAAUUGUCACAAUCUCUUCUACAGGCAAUGCCCAGGGCCAAGGCAGAAAACUUACAUCACCUUUGUGUUCGGCCCAGCAAUACAUCAAAAUCGCUCCUGUGGACACAACCUUGAAAAAAGAGAAGAGUCACAUCAGCUAGGUGCUAGGCCUAGUGAUAUGUCACAAUCCCCACUGUGAACAGGGAUAAGAACCAAGGCAGAGAUUAAUAGUCACAUCGCAUAGUUGAUGGAUGAAGAAACGUGUCACAAGACCCCCUGUGGUCAGGACUCAGGCAGGAGCCUCCCAUCCUUUAGGUGUUUUGCCCAGUAAUAUGUCACAAUACAUAAAAUAUACUAAACUGAGGCAAAAGACCAGGGUCACAUCACCUAGGUGCUGGGUCCAAUGAUAUGUCACAAUCUCCAAUUUUGGGAGAGCAAGGGCAGAGUUUUCAUAUCACCUAGGUGAUGAAUGAAAAGACACAUAAUACCCCUGCGAGCAGGGUGUUGGACCUAGUGGUAUGUCACGAUAACCAAC